Molecule: non-coding RNA, 812 nt
Organism: Paramuricea clavata
Lineage: Eukaryota; Metazoa; Cnidaria; Anthozoa; Malacalcyonacea; Plexauridae
Source: the annotation of a GenBank genome assembly
CCCGUCUGAGCACAUUUGAUUUUUUCAUGUUUUAGUUUUGUUAUUUUCAAAUCAAGUUUUUGCACUUGUCCUGGAUCCCACACUUACACCGAAACGUCGAGGUAAUUAACACACUACUCCAGUACAUCUUAAGUAUUAUAAAGAAGUCACAACGACGAGACAAAAUGGCUGUAAAAUGAUAUUUCCUCAAUUUAGUAGUGCCAGUAGCGUAAGUUUAACUAAUUAGACCAGGUUUUUUUUUACACAGACCCUCAAAUUUGGUCACUGGUAUAUUUAAUUAGGACUUUUAUUAUGUAAAUCUUACGCCUGUAUUCUAAAAGCUCACUCACAUAAGUCACACUCACUGAGUGGAGGUUCAAUCUGAGCUUCUCUGAAUGUCAAUGCUGUUUUGCAUAGCUGGAGGGUGAUUAUAGUCACAUAGGUAGUAAGGUAUGACACUAACCCUCCAACUCAAAAACAGCAAUGACAUUCGAGAGAAGCUCAGAUUGAACUUCCACUCAUCGAGUGUGAGGAGCUGUUAGAAUACGGGCGUUAGAAUGAAUAUCACUGAUGAUGCCAUUUUCCACAACAUUUUAGCAUGUUUCAUCCAGGACUGUACAAAGAAAGCCAAGCAUGAUGAUAUGGUGAUAGACUUCAACACUAAAAACGUAAAUGAUUACUUCGGUGCAAAAAUCACAGCAAUAUGUGGCAACAACACAAUGGAUGGAUGUUUGUGAAGUUCAGUUUUUGAAUUCAAACGACAAACACAGUUGCAUGAUCAAUUGUAGAAUUGAUGUUUCAAAAUUUAUGUAUAAAUAAAAUGACUUUAUAAA